AAACCAACUGGGAUUACCUUAGUAACGGCGAGUGAAGCGGUAAAAGCUCAAAUUUGAAAUCUGGUACGUUCAGUGCCCGAGUUGUAAUUUGUAGAAUUUGUCUUUGAUUAGGUCCCUGUCUAUGUUCCUUGGAACAGGACGUCAUAGAGGGUGAGAAUCCCGUUUGGCGAGGAUACCUUUUCUCUGUAAGACUUUUUCGAAGAGUCGAGUUGUUUGGGAAUGCAGCUCAAAGUGGGUGGUAAAUUCCAUCUAAAGCUAAAUAUUGGCGAGAGACCGAUAGCGAACAAGUACAGUGAUGGAAAGAUGAAAAGAACUUUGAAAAGAGAGUGAAAAAGUACGUGAAAUUGUUGAAAGGGAAGGGCAUUUGAUCAGACAUGGUGUUUUUGCAUGCACUCGCCUCUCGUGGGCUUGGGCCUCUCAAAAAUUUCACUGGGCCAACAUCAAUUUUGGCGGCAGGAAAAUCUUUGGAAUGUAGCUACCUCGGUAGUGUUAUAGCCUUUUGAAAUACUGUCAGCUGGGA
Molecule: ribosomal RNA, 520 nt
Filed under: uncultured Hanseniaspora
Lineage: Eukaryota; Fungi; Ascomycota; Saccharomycetes; Saccharomycodales; Saccharomycodaceae
Description: eukaryotic LSU rRNA
Rfam family: Eukaryotic large subunit ribosomal RNA
Source: RNAcentral